UAUGUAGGGUGCAAGCGUUAAUCGGAAUUACUGGGCGUAAAGCGUGCGCAGGCGGCUUUGCAAGACAGAUGUGAAAUCCCCGGGCUUAACCUGGGAACUGCAUUUGUGACUGCAUGGCUGGAGUGCGGCAGAGGGGGAUGGAAUUCCGCGUGUAGCAGUGAAAUGCGUAGAUAUGCGGAGGAACACCGAUGGCGAAGGCAAUCCCCUGGGCCUGCACUGACGCUCAUGCACGAAAGCGUGGGGAGCAAACAGG
RNAcentral lists this ribosomal RNA (253 nucleotides) under uncultured bacterium. RNAcentral describes it as "partial 16S ribosomal RNA". It matches the Rfam family "Bacterial small subunit ribosomal RNA", at positions 524 to 776 of the family's 1533-position model. The record is from RNAcentral.